UAUGUUCUUGAAACUUAAAAAAUUUGGCGGUUUUUUAGUCUAUCCAGAGGAACCUGUUUUGUAAUCGAUAAUCCACGAUGGACCUUACUUAAAUUUGUAAUCAGUUUAUAUACCGUCGUUAUCAGAAUAUUUUAUAAGAAUAAUAAUAUUCAAUAAUUUUUAUUAAAAUUUAUAUCAGAUCAAGGUGUAGCUUAUGUUUAAGUAAUAAUGGGUUACAAUAAAUUUAUUUAAACGAAUAAAAUUAUGAAAAAAUUUUUGAAGGUGGAUUUGGUUGUAAAGUUAUAAAGAUUAAUAAUUUGAUUUUAGCUCUAAAAUAUGUACACAUCGCCCGUCGCUCUUAUUAUUAAGGUAAGAUAAGUCGUAACAUAGUAGAUGUACUGGAAAGUGUAUCUAGAAUGA
This 399-nucleotide ribosomal RNA is filed under the name Drosophila aldrichi. Its description in RNAcentral is "partial 12S ribosomal RNA". The record is from RNAcentral. Lineage: Eukaryota; Metazoa; Arthropoda; Insecta; Diptera; Drosophilidae.